GGUGAUAACUUGAAAAAAUAAGAGGGGGGAAAUCGAAAUUAUUGGUCAGAGUCCUGAUAAUCUCACGAUUUGAAGACAAAGUUUUGAGAGAUAAUCUAUGAGUUUUGAAACUCAGUUUGAUCUUGAACACUUAUCUCUGAAGGAUUUUAGCUCUCUAUAAAUUAGAGGUAGACAGUGAACAAUGAGGGAAUCAUCAGCAAACAACACAACAAUUACACAAGAAAAAAAAAAACCAGAUAGCAAUCCUCACAGAAACACAGGAACAACAAAUAUGGCAAUCAGAGAGAAAGUAAUCUAACAAUACACAGUAACUAAUAUCCCAAUCCCAGCCAAAAUCACGGUGCCAACCUCGACUACCUUGCCGCCCUAUCAUCUGACCUUCACAAAAUCAAUACCUCUCGAAACCAACAAACUUAGGUCUUGCAUAUAGAGAAGAAAUGGCCCCAACCAACAAUCAACCACCACCAGCCACAACCAAGCAACAAUAACCCCACAAUCUAGGAAAGCAAACCACCGAAGCAGAAGCUAAAACAGCCCUUCCAUCGUCGACAGCCUCACUAGCCACAAAAAGUAUGAGCCCCACCAAAAUCCAAUGUCAAGAAGCCAUAAAAAGAAAGAAGCAAAAGUCAGAAACAGAAACCCAGAAACAAAAAAAAAAAAAAAGAUUUUUUGGGUUUUGGUUCGAUUUUUCUUUAAGUGAUCGGAGCAAGGAGAGUUGCUCUUGAGGUUGGGUCCGUGACUCAAAACUGGAUCUACGCGAAUUUCAUAACAUUUUGAGAAAUCGAACUAGAGCACGCGAAAAAGAAGCUCGCUACUUUAGCUUUAGAUCUAGGCCAUUUGAGGAAGAUUUUCGAGAAUUCGACCUUAAAUUCGAAACCGUGAGGUUAUUGGGAGCUUUCGGGUGGAUAUCGAGCUCCAACGGUGGUCAGUCGUGGCUACUUGUGGUGGUACACAACGGCGGCAUGUGGUGGUUAUUCAUCAAAAUCUGGGAAAUGAAGAAACUUGGUCGAUUUUUGUCACUGGUAGAGAGAGAAUGGAGGAAGCGGCCGUUAGAGAGAGAGAGAGAGAGAGACAAAAUGAAAAAAUGAAAAAAAAUAAACAAAGGACGAAUUUUAUACAAUUAAUAAAACGACAUCAUAUUUGGCAAGGAAAGCCAGUUCCUUUUUUACCCGUUUCAAGGGUUUGCACGCCAGCUCAUCUGAAGAUCUGACCCAACCGCAAUCUGCCUGCUGAGCCAAUCCAACUCUGAGCCAUUGAAGCCGCGCCAUUGAGCUGAGGAGCCGAUUCUUUCUAGCUUCUAAACAAUUAGAC
Molecule: long non-coding RNA, 1311 nt
Filed under: Durio zibethinus
Lineage: Eukaryota; Viridiplantae; Streptophyta; Magnoliopsida; Malvales; Malvaceae
Description: long non-coding RNA (DZIB_LNC002215)
Source: RNAcentral